UGAGACCCUCGCGAGGUCUGAGAGUCACUGGAGCUACCAGAAGCACCAUGGGGCCCUGGGGAGAGCCCGAACUCCUGGUGUGGCGCCCAGAGGCGGUAGCUUCAGAGCCUCCAGUGCUUGUGGGGCUGGAGGUGAAGUUGGGGGCCCUGGUGCUGCUGCUGGUGCUCAACCUUCUCUGCAGCCUGGUGCCCGUCUGUGUGCCACGCAGGCCAGGAGCUAACCAUGAAGCCUCAGCUUCCUGCCAGAAAGCCCUGAGUUUAGUAAGCUGUUUUGCGGGGGGCGUCUUUUUAGCCACCUGUCUCCUGGACCUGCUGCCUGACUACCUGGCUGCUAUAGAUGAGGCCCUGGUAGCCUUGCACGUGACACUCCAGUUCCCGCUGCAAGAGUUCAUCCUGGCCAUGGGCUUCUUCCUGGUCCUGGUGAUGGAGCAAAUCACAUUGGCUUACAAGGAGCAGUCAGGGCCGCCACCUCUGGAGGAAAUAGGGCUCUGCUGGGAACAGUGAACGGUGGGCCACAGCAUUGGCAUGAUGGGCCAGGAGUUCCACAGGCGAGUGCAACGAGACCAGGCUCGGGCCAUGGAGCUGUGCCUGGCUUUGCUGCUCUACAAGGGGAUCCUGGCUGUCAGUCUGUCCCUCCGGCUGCUGCAGAUCCACCUUAGGGCACAGGUGGUGGCUGGCUGUGGGAUCCUCUUCUCAUGCAUGACACCUCUAGGCAUCGGGCUGGGUGCAGCUCUGGCAGAGUCGGCAGGACCUCUGCACCAGCUGGCCCAGUCUGUGCUAGAGGGCAUGGCGGCUGGCACCUUUCUCUAUAUUACCUUCCUGGAAAUCCUGCCCCAGGAGCUGGCCAGUUCUGAGCAAAGGAUCCUCAAGGUCAUUCUGCUCCUAGCAGGCUUUGCCCUGCUCACUGGCCUGCUCUUCAUCCAAAUCUAGGGGGCUU
Cebus imitator (Panamanian white-faced capuchin) is the source of this 936-nucleotide RNA transcript. It is a transcript of the gene named zinc transporter ZIP1-like, with no coding region annotated. The transcript has a single exon. NCBI's taxonomy places the organism in Eukaryota, Metazoa, Chordata, Mammalia, Primates, Cebidae. The record is from RefSeq and is a predicted model, not a curated record.